AAGGGGUGAAAAGAACAAAGUUUUGUCCAUCUUUGUUCAUCAUAGCUGAAAGUUAGAGAAGAGAAAGGAGAGGAGAAAGCUCUUGAGUAUUCGGUCAUUAGGAGGAGGAAAAUUGAAGGUAAGUUCUUGGUACCUUGCUUCUAUUUUGAGGUUCAUGAGUUCUUCUUGAUUCUACCUUAACUCUUGAAGUAUAUUUUGAUUUUUAGUUGUGUUGUGAGCAUUUAGUCAUGAAUUAAAAUGAAGGAAAUGGUUGUUGUUUCAUGUUCUUUUGAUGAAAAAUGGAAGAUAGGUGAAGUUGAGCCAAACAAAUGAGCAUGCAUGUGCCUUAGAUGUUAAAGGGAAAAAUCAGCUAACAUGUUGUGCUUUAAAAUGAUGAAAUGGAGAUUAUACUUAAGUAAAAUCAUAGAUAUGUGAUGAUUGAUUGGUGAUAUACAUGUUUAAAUAACAUGCAUGCAAGGUAUGUGUGAAAGAGUGAUUUGGUAAUAAAUCUGCUUGGGGCAGCAGCAGUAACGUGACUUUGGAAAAUCACCAUAAAUUGUGGGAGAUGAAUUAGAAGCUGAAUAAAUCAUGUAAUUAAAUUCUAUUGAGUCUAGUUUCAAAUGAAAUAAACGAGAACAUAUUUUGAAUUCUGUACAAUGAGAAAUUUGAUUCGUAAUGAAGAGUGGUCAGAUUAGUCAAAUAGUGAAACAUCCGAAACUUUGAGAAAAAUCUGGUAUUGAUUGGCAAAACAAAAAAUUCUGAAAAUUUUAUGGAUAUAAGAUAUAUGAGUCUAUUUUCAGGGAAAAUUAACGGCACUUGAUUUGGAGUUUCGUAGCUCCAGUUAUAAAUGAUUUAGUGACUGUUGCUCAGGAAGACAGCUUGCAGUGAAAUUAUGAUUAUGUGGUAAACAUUGACAAAAAUUUGUUAAUGAGUUGCUUAUUGAUUUCUUAUAAGCUUACUAUGAUUUGUAGGUGUGGUUGGCUGAAUAUUGUAAGGGGUUAAUACGUAGUUUGUAUUCGAAUAGUUAGAUUAACGUGUUAGUAAUCCAAUUGUAGGCGGUUCGUGUGUGGAUCUCGUCAGUAUAUCGUCGCAAACAGGUGUGUAACUAACACCCUCUUUCUUAGUCUAGAUCGGCAAAAGUCGAAAAGCCGAAAUGCCGAAAACCGGUAUUUUGUAGAUUUGCGAGUGUGCGAAUGCUCGCGAGGUAAAUCGAUUAAUGUUUUAGGUAAGUUGCAAUGUUUUGACUACAAAGUGCAUGAUUUCUGUGCCCUCGAUAUUUUUGGGCUUAAUGGGCCAAAAUUGGAAUGAUGGGCCAACGGGCCCAAUUCGGUAAGAACCCUCGGUACGUGAUUCUGUUAGUACGUGAAAAGUAGGAAUAUGCAUGAAAAACUCUAAAAUAGAUAAAUUACUGAAAUACCUUUAAAAGUGGAAAAUUUACAGUUUUACCCCUAGUAGAUAAAUUACCGAAAUACCCCUAGGGUUAAAUUGACCUAAAUGCAUGUUUGACUGUUGUUAUUUACUGCAUGCCAUGUUGUUAUUAUCUAAUGCAUGGGACUGGGAUAUUGAUGGAGGAAGUACUGAAAGUGGCUUGUCCACGUACUGGAGGCUUUGCCCUAAUUUACUGUUAACUGAGCAGCAAGGCUGCAACUGUGGAGUGUUGGGCUGGGUGGGUUGGGCUAUUCCCCACAUGGAGUGUAUGGCUGGUACGGGUGGAGUGUAGUGGUUGGUGGGUUGAGUAGUCUCCCCAAAUGGGCUUGCAUAUGUUUACUGAUGUUGCAUGUAUUUUGAAAUGGGCCUAUGGGCCAUACUGUUAUCUAAAUAAGGGGCUAAGGCCCAGUUUAUUGUAACCUGAAAAGGGCUCUGCCCCAGUACCACUGUUACCUGAAUGGGCUUAGGCCCAAUAGGCUUGAGCUGACUUGGGCUUUGAAUGGGUUUUCCUUACACACUGAGUUUCCCCAAACUCACCCCUUUUAUUUUCAUCCACGCAGGAAAUCCCCAACCAUAGUGGGCUUGGAGCUGUGAGGAAAUUCGGAUUGGCCACCCGUUCUGAAAGUUUGGUUUUCUUCUGGUGAACUGGACAUCCUUUUAUUUACGUUUGAAGUUUUGGGUUUUUAAAUGUAAUAAGGCCGCUUAAUUAUUUUUAAUGGUUUUAAUAUGUAUUACUAAGAUAGGUAUUACUUAUUUUAACUGUUGAAAUUGGAUAGCUUUAGGGCGCGUUUUCAAAAACAACAGUUGAUUUCAAAAUAACACGACAACAAGCAAAGCUUCCGCAAUGAAAGUAUUUUCCAAAAUUAAUCACUUUUCCUAAAAAUGACUUAAUCAAAUCAGUUUCCUAGAAAUAUCCAUGAUGUUAAGGUGUGGCAAUGGCGGUAUGCAUGUCUAGGAUUGGAUCCGAAGGGAGCUUGGUAUUUAAGCAGUCCGAUGGACUCACCACCUCUUUUCCGGUUUCCUACCUAGUGCACAGCUUCCAUUCACUUUAACCUAUAAUGAAAUUAUCUUUUAAAACACUAAGUAGGUUUUUUUCUGGAUCAACAAUAUAAAAUGUUUUGAACGCUUCGAUGUGGCAUGUCGGAUCCGGCCAUAACGUCUGGGCCGGGUUUGGGGUGCUACAAAAUUUCUAGAAAAUGAAUGAAAAAAAUAAAAUUACAUAGUUUUUUGCCACAAGGCAUUUCUUGGGUCUUCAAUUGCCAUCGCUCCAUCUUCUCCUUGUCAUGUACUCCUUUUGAUUAAUUACAUUUAAAUCCAUGUUCGUUUCUAGCUCACAAGAAUUCUAUGAAUUUUAAAAAAUAGUCCUAUGUCUAUUUCCUAAGAAUCACAACCUUGACAAUAAAAAAUAAUUAUAUAACAAAUAUAUAAUAUCGCACCCAUUCCCAUAUAUAACUCAAAACAUGCAUAAGAUCUAAAGAACUUCACUUUCUAUGUAAUCAAGUCAUUCAAGAAGAAGAGAAAUGUAACAGCCCGAUUUAGACCCUAAUCGAAACGGUAGUUUCGAGACCACGAAUCCGAGUUAGAAAAAUAUUUUAAUAUUAUUUUCCAUGCUUAUAAUAUGUGAAUUGAUAUCUGUGAAAGUUUCGUGUGGAAAUUUUAUUAUUUGUGUGCUUAAUUUGAAAAAAAUGACUUAAUCGCGUAAAAUGUAAAAGUGGCUAGCCAUUUGUUAAAAGUGCCUAUUUGCUUUUAUUAAAUAAAUUUAAGAUCCUUAUGAUGAAAUUGAACCAUUAUAAAGUUAGUGGAAUUAAUGGUUUGGCAAAGUUCUUAAAUGGAUUAUUUUUAAAGGUUAGUUUUGUAAAUUAGUAAAAUAAGUUAAUAAAAUAAAUCAAAUGCAUGAAAAUAAAGCCAUUAUCACCUUUGUUUUUGCCGAAAAUCAAAAGAAAGGAAAAGAUGAAAGCUUGUUGAACAUUCGGCUAUGGUUAGCUUGAGUUGGUAAGUGAAUUUUGUUCGGUUUUUGAUAAUUUCUAUGUUUUUGUGAUCGUUGCUUCGAAUACUAGUAAACCCAUGCUUCAAUUUUCGAAUUUGAUGAUGAAUUGGAGAAUUGCUAUUAAUGAUAGCUUGAUGUUUUUGUUGUUUGAUGAUGAAAAAUGAAUAUUUGUUGAUAGAUUAUUAUGUUUAAUUAAGUGGUUUUUGAUAAAAAUCCAAAUUUGGGAUUAAAUUGUGGAUUUUGUAAAUUAAGCGGUCAAAAUGUGAAAUAAAUGAAAGAAAUGGGCUGUUAUGAACCUUAGAAGCCUUAGAAAAAUUCAACUAUACUAGAGUUUAGUGAAAGUAUGUGUAUUUUGUGUUUUGUGAAAUAGGGACUAAAUUGCGAAAAAUGUGAAAUGUUAGGGGCAAAAUUGUAAUUAGCCUAUUUAUGUGUUUUUGGAUGAAUUUGAUUGAAUAUAUGAUUAAAUAAGUUGAAUUUGUAUUGAAUUAGAUCAAGAAAUGUAGAAAUCGGAUUUGGACCGGGGAAAAACCAAAGUUGUCGACUAGUUGUCUCAUCCUAAUUACCGUUGUCUGAGGUAAGUUUACAAGCAAAUAAACAUACUUAAUUUUAAUUAAUACAAAGUAUAUAUGCUGAAAUGAAAUAUAUGAAUUAAUAUAUGCUAAUGCUGAAUGUGUAUAAGCAUGGUAACUAUGUUCAUGCAUUCGUUUCGACUGAGCUAUAACAUUUGAAAGUCCGUAUAAACUAUAUGGAAUAUUUGGAAUUUUUGAUAUAUGAAUUGUUUACGAGACAACUUUAUAAUAGUGAUAUUCGGGCUUUGAGACUAGCAAGCCUUGUGCUGGUGAAUUAAAUCGGGCUUAUGCCUAGCAGGCUUAUUGUCAGUGUAUAAAAUCAGACUUUGAGUUUAGCAGGCCUUGUGCCGGUGUGAGAUUCAGGCUUAGGCCUAGCAGGCUUUAUGCCAGUGAAUUAUUAUAAGUUUAUGCCUAAAAGACUUUAUGCUGAUGUGGUAAUUGAAUACGUUAAACGAGCUAAAUGAUUAGGUAUGAGUUAGCUUUUUGUUUACUUGAAAAUAAGGUAAGCUGAUUAUUUGAUAUGUGAUACAAACAUAUGUAUGAUGUUAGUCUGAAAUUUGUGAGUAAUUGUGAAAUAUAUUCAGCCAAAGUUAAGCAUAAUUAUGUGGUAUAAAGGUUUGAGACAUGAUUAUAUGAAAACAAGUGUUUAAAGAUUCGACUUUAUGCAUUAAUAAUAUGAUUUUCAUAGUGUAUGACAUUUUGGUAUAGAUACAUGUAUAUUCGGCUACACGAUAAGUGUAAUUAUGAGAUAUUAAAGUUUGAUUCAAGAAUAUAUGUUUGUGGGUGUGUAUAUUCGAUUAUAUAAUGGUAUUAUGGUUUUGAAAUUGAAUGUUACAUUGAUAAUAGUUAUAGUACAUUCGUUCAAAGGUUACGUAUAGUGAUAUCAUAUUGUGGCCUAUGUGCAAAUUUAUAUAAAUGAUUAUAUAUUGCCUAAAUGAUAUAAAGAAAGAAUAAUGAUAAGUGAUUCAUGAAUAUAUGUAUAUGAUUUUAUAUAUUUAUUCAGUUAAUUAUUGAUAAUGUGGCUUUGAAAUUUGAAUGAUAUAUAUAUUAAUAUUAGUUGUAUGGAUAUUUGGUAAAAGUGAAAGUAUAUGUAUUAUAUGAAAUUAUAAGUUUGAAGUUAAAUGUGAUUAUGAUAGUAUAAAUUGGUUUGGUAAUUAAAUCGAUAUUGACAAUGAGUUAUUUAUUUGCUUAUAGCUUACUAAGCUCUCAAAGCUUAUUCUGUGUGUUUUUCCUAUGUUUAUAGAUUUUCAGAGAUCUGCUCGAGUUGUAAGUCAGUGGAGAUGACAUCACACUAUACGGUUAUCAUUUCAGUAAAUAAUAUUUUAAGGCUCGGUUAUGUGGCAUGUAUAGGCUAGUCUUGAAGUUAAUUGUUUUGAAUGAGUAUGUAUUAAAGCCAUGCGAAAGUGGCUUAACUACCUUGCUUGAAAUCAG
This 5394-nucleotide long non-coding RNA is filed under the name Gossypium barbadense (sea-island cotton). RNAcentral describes it as "long non-coding RNA (GBAR_LNC010345)". The record is from RNAcentral. Lineage: Eukaryota; Viridiplantae; Streptophyta; Magnoliopsida; Malvales; Malvaceae.